UCUACUUGGCAAUCCUGGGCAGACCUCGAGCACCAGUACCACUGUAGAUACACAUAAUUUGCAUAUGCAUUUGAAUUUCUCAAAAAUGAAUACUUUUACUACGAGUGCUAUAUUUUUGUUAUGCGUUGGUUCAAUUCAUGCAAUGAGUGGAGACGCAACUUAUUACGAUCUUGGCAUGACGGCGUGUGGACAAGUUUAUAGUGACAAUGAUCUUGUGGCUGCCAUUGGGAAAAAUUACUGGACGACAGGAAAUCCGAAUAACGAUCCAGUUUGUCAAAAGCGUGCACGUGUAACAGAUCCACAGAUCGGAAAGAGCGUUACUGUUCAGAUCAAGGAUAAAUGCAUGGGAUGCAAAUCUGGAGAUAUUGACUUGUCCCGUGCCGCUUUUAAGCAACUAAGAGAUUUGAGCGUUGGAAGAUUUAAGGUCAACUGGAAUUUCGUGUAAAUUAAGUCUCAAUAAUUAUUUAUUCAUUAAAUUAACUAAUUUCGACACAUCAAAAAUUUUGUUAGUGAUGGUAUUACUAAAACAUAAUUGGCUGACCAAAAUAAAAUUAUCUAAUUACGCAUUAUGAAACC
This is a long non-coding RNA of Folsomia candida, 576 nucleotides long. RefSeq lists it as uncharacterized. The record is from RefSeq and is a predicted model, not a curated record. The transcript has 2 exons. NCBI's taxonomy places the organism in Eukaryota, Metazoa, Arthropoda, Collembola, Entomobryomorpha, Isotomidae.